UACAACCAUAUUACGUCGAAACCCCAGUUUCCGUACGAUCACCGAAGUUAAGGAACAUCGAGCCUGGUCAAUACCUAGAUGGGUGACCGUUUGAAAAAAUAAGGUGUUGUAA
Non-coding RNA from Acanthosepion pharaonis, 112 nucleotides. The record is from the annotation of a GenBank genome assembly. Lineage: Eukaryota; Metazoa; Mollusca; Cephalopoda; Sepiida; Sepiidae.